GUGCCCUGCCGCAUAGGCAGCCAAGAAA
This 28-nucleotide non-coding RNA is filed under the name Vibrio rotiferianus. The record is from RNAcentral. Lineage: Bacteria; Pseudomonadati; Pseudomonadota; Gammaproteobacteria; Vibrionales; Vibrionaceae.